Molecule: transfer RNA, 85 nt
Filed under: Triticum aestivum (bread wheat)
Lineage: Eukaryota; Viridiplantae; Streptophyta; Magnoliopsida; Poales; Poaceae
Rfam family: tRNA
About the family: Transfer RNA (tRNA) molecules are approximately 80 nucleotides in length. Their secondary structure includes four short double-helical elements and three loops (D, anti-codon, and T loops).
Source: Rfam by way of RNAcentral
GGGGUGGUGGCGCAGUUGGCUAGCGUGUAGGUCUCAUAGCUGAAAGUGAAUCCUGAGGUCGAGAGUUCGAUCCUCUCUCACCCGA